RNAcentral lists this ribosomal RNA (497 nucleotides) under uncultured bacterium. Its description in RNAcentral is "partial 16S ribosomal RNA". It matches the Rfam family "Bacterial small subunit ribosomal RNA", at positions 28 to 507 of the family's 1533-position model. The record is from RNAcentral.
GAUGAACGCUGGCGGCGUGCCUAAUACAUGCAAGUCGAGCGAACAGACGAGGAGCUUGCUCCUCUGACGUUAGCGGCGGACGGGUGAGUAACACGUGGAUAACCUACCUAUAAGACUGGGAUAACUUCGGGAAACCGGAGCUAAUACCGGAUAAUAUAUUGAACCGCAUGGUUCAAUAGUGAAAGACGGUUUUGCUGUUACUUAUAGAUGGAUCCGCGCCGCAUUAGCUAGUUGGUAAGGUAACGGCUUACCAAGGCAACGAUGCGUAGCCGACCUGAGAGGGUGAUCGGCCACACUGGAACUGAGACACGGUCCAGACUCCUACGGGAGGCAGCAGUAGGGAAUCUUCCGCAAUGGGCGAAAGCUUGACGGAGCAACGCCGCGUGAGUGAUGAAGGUCUUCGGAUCGUAAAACUCUGUUAUUAGGGAAGAAAAAAUGUGUAAGUAACUAUGCACGUCUUGACGGUACCUAAUCAGAAAGCCACGGCUAACUACGUG